Molecule: transfer RNA, 72 nt
Organism: Trichinella nelsoni
Lineage: Eukaryota; Metazoa; Nematoda; Enoplea; Trichinellida; Trichinellidae
Rfam family: tRNA
About the family: Transfer RNA (tRNA) molecules are approximately 80 nucleotides in length. Their secondary structure includes four short double-helical elements and three loops (D, anti-codon, and T loops).
Source: Rfam
AGCAGAGUGGCCCAGAGGAACCGUGCUGGACUUAUAACCCAGAGGUCCGUGGAUCGAAAUCACGCUCUGCUA